GGGGGCGUGGUCUAGUCUGGUCUAGGACGCUGGAUUGUCACUCCAGAGAUCGCCGGUUCAAAUCCGGUCGUCCCCGCCA
Molecule: transfer RNA, 79 nt
Filed under: Candidatus Acetothermia bacterium
Lineage: Bacteria; Candidatus Bipolaricaulota
Also listed under: 2 other names
Description: tRNA-Asp
Rfam family: tRNA
About the family: Transfer RNA (tRNA) molecules are approximately 80 nucleotides in length. Their secondary structure includes four short double-helical elements and three loops (D, anti-codon, and T loops).
Source: RNAcentral